GGAGUUGUGGCUCAGUGGUAGAGCGCUCAUCCCGCAUAUGUGAAGCCCUGGGUUUGAUCCCCAGCACCA
This 69-nucleotide transfer RNA is filed under the name Marmota marmota marmota (Alpine marmot). It matches the Rfam family "tRNA". Rfam says of the family: Transfer RNA (tRNA) molecules are approximately 80 nucleotides in length. Their secondary structure includes four short double-helical elements and three loops (D, anti-codon, and T loops). The record is from Rfam by way of RNAcentral. Lineage: Eukaryota; Metazoa; Chordata; Mammalia; Rodentia; Sciuridae. RNAcentral also lists the same sequence under 2 other names.